This 236-nucleotide transfer-messenger RNA is filed under the name Eubacteriales Family XIII. Incertae Sedis bacterium. RNAcentral's name for it is "partial transfer-messenger RNA". It matches the Rfam family "transfer-messenger RNA", at positions 1 to 254 of the family's 374-position model. Rfam says of the family: Bacterial tmRNA, also known as 10Sa RNA or SsrA, is named for its dual tRNA and mRNA-like properties. Its role is to liberate the mRNA from a stalled ribosome. Lineage: Bacteria; Bacillati; Bacillota; Clostridia; Peptostreptococcales; Anaerovoracaceae. The record is from RNAcentral.
GGGGGUGUAAAGGUUUCGACGGGGAUAUAGAACCGAGAAAAGCGAGCCGUAGUCGCCAAGUCUACGUUAAAAGUGGCACGUUAAAGAUAAACGGAAAAACUAACAACAACUACGCAUUAGCAGCUUAGUCUGCCCGCGUCGUCGGCCCCGAUUCACCUGUAGAUCGGGAAUCCGGCGUCGACAUACAGGAAAACUUCGCGUGACCUCCCGGCAUCGCGAGGGACUUACGGGAUAGC